Molecule: ribosomal RNA, 253 nt
Filed under: uncultured bacterium
Lineage: Bacteria
Description: partial 16S ribosomal RNA
Rfam family: Bacterial small subunit ribosomal RNA
Source: RNAcentral
UACGUAGGGGGCAAGCGUUGUCCGGAAUCAUUGGGCGUAAAGCGCGCGUAGGCGGCCCGGUAAGUCCGCUGUGAAAGUCCAGGGCUCAACCCUGGAAAGCCGGUGGAUACUGCCGGGCUAGAGUCCGGAAGAGGCGAGUGGAAUUCCUGGUGUAGCGGUGGAAUGCGCAGAUAUCAGGAGGAACACCAAUAGCGAAGGCAGCUCGCUGGGACGUUACUGACGCUGAGACGCGAAAGCGUGGGGAGCAAACAGG